This 665-nucleotide ribosomal RNA is filed under the name uncultured soil bacterium. RNAcentral describes it as "bacterial SSU rRNA". It matches the Rfam family "Bacterial small subunit ribosomal RNA", at positions 34 to 677 of the family's 1533-position model. The record is from RNAcentral.
CGCUGGCGGCGUGGAUAAGACAUGCAAGUCGAGCGAGGUUACUUUUGGUAGCAAUACUAGAAGUAACUUAGCGGCGAACGGGUGCGUAACACGUGGACAAUCUGCCAUAAAGUGGGGGAUAGCUCGGCGAAAGCCGAAUUAAUACCGCAUGUGAUCAGAGGGGACAUCCCUUCGAAAUCAAAGCCGGGGCAACCUGGCGCUUUUUGUGGAGUCCGCGGCCUAUCAGCUUGUUGGUGAGGUAACGGCUCACCAAGGCUUUGACGGGUAGCUGGUCUGAGAGGACGACCAGCCACACUGGAACUGAGACACGGUCCAGACACCUACGGGUGGCAGCAGUCGAGAAUUUUUCUCAAUGGGGGAAACCCUGAAGGAGCGACGCCGCGUGGAGGAUGAAGGUCUUCGGGUUGUAAACUCCUGUCAUUUGGGAACAAGUCGUACGUAGUAACUAUACGUGCGUUGAUAGUACCAGAAGAGGAAGAGACGGCUAACUCUGUGCCAGCAGCCGCGGUAAUACAGAGGUCUCAAGCGUUGUUCGGAUUCAUUGGGCGUAAAGGGUGCGUAGGUGGCGUCGUAAGUCGGGUGUGAAAUUUCGGAGCUUAACUCCGAAACUGCAUUCGAUACUGCGGUGCUUGAGGACUGGAGAGGAGACUGGAAUUUACGGUGUA